AAGAGCAUUGAAGAACAAGACAAAUCGGCUUGAAUGAGAAGAUGCCUUGCGAGAAUUGAGAAUGCCUUCCCCAACAAAGUUCAUACCAUGGCUGGAAAAGGAUAUUCAAAUAUUUGGUUGAGUUACAAAUACUUAACAGGAUUUAAAAUGUUGCUAUUAUUGGAGAAAUGAAGAUACUCAAGUCAUUUUCCUUAGCCUGCGAGAUUCUUGUUAUAUAGGAGGUGAGUGAUAGGCCAAUUGACUCCACUAGUCUCGUUAGAUUCAAGCAAUUGGGGCAACUAGAAGCUUUUGCAGAAAUGUAAUAUCAAGCUUAUUUCGAAUUAAGUGUAUCAGGGGAUGUCUAUUUAAUGGAAAUGUAAUAUCAAUGUUGAAUGCUCUGCUAGAUUUGCAUUUUUGUUUAUGCACAUUCUAAUGUGUAACAUGUAGAAGUGUUAUUGAUUUA
Molecule: long non-coding RNA, 442 nt
Organism: Pistacia vera
Lineage: Eukaryota; Viridiplantae; Streptophyta; Magnoliopsida; Sapindales; Anacardiaceae
Exons: 2
Source: RefSeq, a predicted model, not a curated record